CCUACGGGCGGCUGCAGUGGGGAAUAUUGGACAAUGGGGGCAACCCUGAUCCAGCCAUGCCGCGUGUGUGAAGAAGGCCCUCGGGUUGUAAAGCACUUUCAGUGAGGAAGAACGCCUGGUGGUUAAUACCCAUCAGGAAAGACAUCACUCACAGAAGAAGCACCGGCUAACUCCGUGCCAGCAGCCGCGGUAAUACGGAGGGUGCGAGCGUUAAUCGGAAUUACUGGGCGUAAAGCGCGCGUAGGUGGCUUGAUAAGCCGGUUGUGAAAGCCCCGGGCUCAACCUGGGAACGGCAUCCGGAACUGUCAAGCUAGAGUGCAGGAGAGGAAGGUAGAAUUCCCGGUGUAGCGGUGAAAUGCGUAGAGAUCGGGAGGAAUACCAGUGGCGAAGGCGGCCUUCUGGACUGACACUGACACUGAGGUGCGAAAGCGUGGGUAACAAACAGGAUUAGAUACCCUGGUAGUC
RNAcentral lists this ribosomal RNA (465 nucleotides) under Vreelandella stevensii. RNAcentral describes it as "partial 16S ribosomal RNA". It matches the Rfam family "Bacterial small subunit ribosomal RNA", at positions 338 to 795 of the family's 1533-position model. The record is from RNAcentral. Lineage: Bacteria; Pseudomonadati; Pseudomonadota; Gammaproteobacteria; Oceanospirillales; Halomonadaceae.